AUGUCUGAUUAUUUGUGCGGUGAGUUUAUAUCACCUUUUGCAUAAAGAUUAACUUUAACACAAGGAUGUAUAAGUAUUAAAGCAACUACUAGGUAUUGCAUAAGCAUAAAAGUGCAUAUUAUUUACAUGUGUUUUUAAACAUAUCAGGAAAAUAUAGCCAUUUACCACACAGCAUCAAUGAAUUUACCAUCUUCCUCACAUCCAGGAUUAGCACCAGGAUAUUUUGCAACAGGAAAAGGGGAGGCUUUUCCCCAAACAGAUGAAAUACAAUAUAAGGACAUCACAUUUAAGUUUGAUUCAGGCUGAUGACAGAUGACACAAAUGACGUCCUAUGAGCGACUCAUAGGAAUAACACAUUAAUGAAGACCCUCCCACAAAAGGAGUGUGCUUCAGGUUGUGUCGAUGUCUGCACCAUACAGACAGACGGGUCUGAACUGUAUGAACGGAACAUAACAACAUGCUUUGAGAUCUCCAAACCAUAUUGUACCACAUCGACCACCAUUGCAGAAAUGAUAAUGGAACAGUACGACCCUCGGAUCGCUGUUAUUCUAGGCUCACCGCUCCACCCCACAGGAAACAGAGCGGGCCUGCACCGCUUACACAAGCCACCCAUAAGUUCUGCUGAACCGUAAGAGAACCCACAAAACACCACCGGCGGUGGCUACGCUACCCCAUCGGAGAACCUGAAGAUACAGUAAACAAAGGAUGCAGACUUUGGCUUGCUUUGUAAACAGAGGCCACUCAGGACGAGGAGGAUUUGAGGAGUGUACGGUGGGCAGGCUGCUACCCUCGUCUCUCAGAAUGCUACAUUUGAGAGUUACAUCAAGUCUUUCGACGGUCACCACACAUGCAAAUACUCACGAACAUAGUUUUACUCUGGGCCCCGUACGUCUGAACAUGCUACACAUUCAGCAAAAUGCCACGGCGACAAAGAAUCACAUUAUAGACCAGAUGCAAGGAACAGAACCAACCCAGGCCCCGAAAUGAAGCUCUAUGCACUGUGGGACUAAUCUAUGACUUUAGUCCUAUUAGGACUUUAGUUUUUUUUUUUUUUAAGUUUUAAAAUAUUUGUCACAAGCACAAGAGGGG
Molecule: long non-coding RNA, 1089 nt
Organism: Megalobrama amblycephala (Wuchang bream)
Lineage: Eukaryota; Metazoa; Chordata; Actinopteri; Cypriniformes; Xenocyprididae
Exons: 4
Source: RefSeq, a predicted model, not a curated record